GGGACCAUAGUUCAGUGGGAGAACACACGGCUGAAGACCGUGACGUCCGGGGUUCAAAUCCCCGUGGUCCCA
RNAcentral lists this transfer RNA (72 nucleotides) under Candidatus Woesearchaeota archaeon. Its description in RNAcentral is "tRNA-Phe". It matches the Rfam family "tRNA". Rfam says of the family: Transfer RNA (tRNA) molecules are approximately 80 nucleotides in length. Their secondary structure includes four short double-helical elements and three loops (D, anti-codon, and T loops). Further hydrogen bonds mediate the characteristic L-shaped molecular structure. tRNAs have two regions of fundamental functional importance: the anti-codon, which is responsible for specific mRNA codon recognition, and the 3' end, to which the tRNAs corresponding amino acid is attached (by aminoacyl-tRNA synthetases). tRNAs cope with the degeneracy of the genetic code in two manners: having more than one tRNA (with a specific anti-codon) for a particular amino acid; and 'wobble' base-pairing, i.e. permitting non-standard base-pairing at the 3rd anti-codon position. The record is from RNAcentral. Lineage: Archaea; Nanobdellati; Candidatus Woesearchaeota.